Molecule: ribosomal RNA, 22 nt
Filed under: Homaliodendron crassinervium
Lineage: Eukaryota; Viridiplantae; Streptophyta; Bryopsida; Hypnales; Neckeraceae
Description: 26S ribosomal RNA
Source: RNAcentral
CAGACCUCUAAUCGAAAAAAGA